RNAcentral lists this ribosomal RNA (426 nucleotides) under Ixodes scapularis (black-legged tick). Its description in RNAcentral is "partial 12S ribosomal RNA". Lineage: Eukaryota; Metazoa; Arthropoda; Arachnida; Ixodida; Ixodidae. The record is from RNAcentral.
UAAAAAAUUUUGGCGGUAUUUUAAGCUUAUUAGAGGAAUUUGCUCUGUGAUGGACACAACGCCUUAAUCUUACUUAAUUUAGUAAUUUAAAUCAGUUUGUAUACCACUAUAUUAAUUAUAUUGAAUAGUUAUAUUUAAAAUUUUUUUAAAAAAAUAUAUUAAGUCAAGGUGCAUCUAAUAAUUAUGAAUGAAGUGAAUUACAUCAAUUUUAAUGUAAUUUUUUACAUGAAAAAAUUAAUUAGGAUUUAAUAGUAAAAUACUAAUAUUAUGAGUAUUUGAAUCAAGCUCUAAAAUAUGCACAUAUCGCCCGUCGCUCUCAGAAGUGAGAUAAGUCGUAACAAAGUAAAAAUACUGGAAAGUGUUUUUUAAAAUGAAAUCAUUCGAUGUUUCAUUUACAAUGAAAAUUUUGUUGUUUAACCAUUUUAA